Molecule: long non-coding RNA, 663 nt
Filed under: Cyanistes caeruleus (blue tit)
Lineage: Eukaryota; Metazoa; Chordata; Aves; Passeriformes; Paridae
Description: lncRNA (ENSCCEG00000013059.1)
Source: RNAcentral
CGGCCCCUUUUCCUAGCCGGUCAACGCCUCCAGCCGUCCAGAGCGCCUUUGUCUCCUUCCUAGAGCCACUGGCUGAUGGGGCAGCGGGGGACGCGGACCCCGGCGCUGCGGUCCGCCAGGAGCGGCGCGGCCGGUGUGUCCCGGCUGCGAGGGCCACGGCAGCCGUGAGUUCCCAAGGUCACAGAGGCCUCGGUGAGCCGUGAAACCGCUCCCCACCACCCACACCUGGCCCUCGGCCCCGAGCGAAAAGUUGCUGCUGGUUCACGUGGGCCGAUGAGGUCCGGUGUCCAGCGGGUGAGAAAGAGCAGCACCCUUCGUGUGGUCCCUGCCAGCGGGGUGAGCUGGAGACCUGUCUGGACAGCUGGAACUGUAGUGCAUGCAGAUCCCACUGUGAAUGCAGCAGAGAUAGAGCAGCAGACAAGAAUCACUCCACUUGUUUGCACUAGUGCAGCCACAGCAAAGAUAAAAGUCCCAGUGUUACAGCUUUUACCCAGGUUGCUGAAUUGUCGGCAUAUUUGGAAGAGAUGGAUGUCUCCAGUGACAUAUGGAUGUGCUGCACACAUUGCCUGUGCCCUGUGUAAGGCUGAGUGCUCAGAAGAAGCCCAGACAGCUUCCUUGCCCUGCCUGGCUCAGGAAACGUGGACACAGAGCCAUGAGGAAUGA